Nicotiana tabacum (common tobacco) is the source of this 962-nucleotide non-coding RNA. The record is from RefSeq and is a predicted model, not a curated record. Lineage: Eukaryota; Viridiplantae; Streptophyta; Magnoliopsida; Solanales; Solanaceae.
AGGAGGAGGGAAGCCGGAAGCGAGUACCACGGCGUUUCAGUAAACAACGACGUUUCAGGAAACGCCAUUGCAUUUUGUUGAUUACUGGUCUAGUAAUUUGUGGAUCUUACUGAAGAAAGAGUAAUGUGCUAGCUAAGAUGUUUUUUCCUUCUAAAGUCAAGUAUCUCCCACUCUCUUCCUCCUCGGUUUCUCCCCUAAAUCUGGCCAUUCUUUCAAAUGGUUCUAAACAUAAAAGAUGGUUGCUUAGAUGACAUUUCUUUCUCCAAACUCUUUUUGAAAUCAAAGCACACCAGCUAGUCCUAAGUAAACAUGGCCUAUGGCCUAAUACAUAGUGAUAUCUAAAACCAUAUCCCCCUGCUGCUCUGUCGUGUUGCUGGCUACAUAGGAAAGCUGUAUUGAGUCGUCUAGGCUUCCUUCUUUUCUCUCCUUUAUUCCUCUCUCAAUGAAAAUGAAUCAAUUCAAUUUUAGCAAAAAUUACAAUACUUUUCUCCUUUUACAGCAAAGGCCCUACAAUACCUACAUAACCUCGGGAUUGUGCACAGGGAUGUGAAACCAGCGAACAUUCUUCUUGAUAGACAGCUACAACCACGUCUUGCUGACUUUGGUCUGGCAGAAUACAAAAAGAAUCUUAAACUAGUUUCCACUGAAAACUGGAAAUCUACUGGCAAGCCUACUGGAGGUUUCCAUAAGAGGAAUAUGGUUGGUACGCUUAUUUACAUGGCACCAGAGGUGCUGAGGAAAGAGAUACAGACUGAAAAAUCUGAUGUAUAUAGCUUUGGAAUAUCAGUGAAUGAGCUGCUUACUGGCGUAGUUCCAUACACUGAUCUCCGUUCAGAGGCACAGGUUGGUCUUUCUUUCACUUCCUCAAAAUGUCAGCCUUUAAUUACAACAACAAAUACACCUCAACCUCAAGCUUGUUAGGGCCCGCGAAUUGUCAACUUUUAUUUAACCUAUCAUCUGUA